UUCCUUUUUCUAUAUAAACCAAAACCCUCUCCUUACUGCCACAUCCAAAUUUCUGUGUUUAUCUCUCAAUGUGUGUUUGUGUUUUUGUACUUAUCUAGUUCCGCACGUAGCCUCCCGGGCUCGUCUGAGAUCAAUUUGAAGAAGAAGAAGCCCCACUGCUCGUGCUAAAUUAAUCUCGCCGCUAGUGUUGCAGCUUAGCCCUUUGUACCUCUUUUCCAUGGCUGAUUUGUGUCAAUUCAACGGUUACACUUGCUUUUUCUUGAAAUAUGUAUCUUUGAUUUGAAUUUUAUCGAUUUUUCAAUUGAUCCAUUGUUUGCCUCUCCUCACCUUUAGCUUCCUUUCUAAUCGUCAAUGAAAGCAGUGGCUAGUCAUGGAGGCAAAGAUUCAUCGCUGAUGUUACGUGGGGGUUCGGCGCGUUCAAUGAUUUCGUGGUGGUUGACAAGACUAUGGAUUCUGCGUCUUGGAAAGUCUUCUUAGGCUAAAUUUGAAAGUGGGAUGUACAUUCAUAUAAUCAAAUUUGUACAGUAGUAUGGAUUACACAGUACACUUGUAAUACUUAUAUUUUUGAAUAAUGAUGAAUCAUGAAAUUAGUUCGAAUGUUUUAUA
This is a long non-coding RNA of Ipomoea triloba (trilobed morning glory), 606 nucleotides long. RefSeq lists it as uncharacterized. Lineage: Eukaryota; Viridiplantae; Streptophyta; Magnoliopsida; Solanales; Convolvulaceae. The record is from RefSeq and is a predicted model, not a curated record. The transcript is spliced from 2 exons.